Molecule: ribosomal RNA, 501 nt
Filed under: uncultured bacterium
Lineage: Bacteria
Description: partial 16S ribosomal RNA
Rfam family: Bacterial small subunit ribosomal RNA
Source: RNAcentral
AUUGAACGCUGGCGGCAGGCUUAACACAUGCAAGUCGAGCGGGGGAAGGUAGCUUGCUACCGGACCUAGCGGCGGACGGGUGAGUAAUGCUUAGGAAUCUGCCUAUUAGUGGGGGACAACAUCUCGAAAGGGAUGCUAAUACCGCAUACGUCCUACGGGAGAAAGCAGGGGAUCUUCGGACCUUGCGCUGAUAGAUGAGCCUAAGUCGGAUUAGCUAGUUGGUGGGGUAAAGGCCUACCAAGGCGACGAUCUGUAGCGGGUCUGAGAGGAUGAUCCGCCACACUGGGACUGAGACACGGCCCAGACUCCUACGGGAGGCAGCAGUGGGGAAUAUUGGACAAAGGGGGGAACCCUGAUCCAGCCAUGCCGCGUGUGUGAAGAAGGCCUUAUGGUUGUAAAGCACUUUAGGCGAGGAGGAGGCUACUCUAGUUAAUACCUAGGGAUAGUGGACGUUACUCGCAGAAUAAGCACCGGCUAACUCUGUGCCAGCCGCCGCCGUAA